UAAUGCAUGCAAGUCGCACGGAGCUUCGGCUCAGUGGCGGACGGGUGAGUAACACGUAGGAAACCUGCCCCAGAAUGGGGGGAUAACUCCUCGAAAAGAGGGGGCUAAUACCGCAUACGGUCUACGGACCAAAGCAGCAAUGCGCUACUGGAGGGGCCUGCGGUGGAUUAGCUAGUUGGUGGGGUAAUGGCCUACCAAGGCGACGAUCCAUAGCUGGUCUGAGAGGACGGCCAGCCACACUGGGACUGAGACACGGCCCAGACUCC
RNAcentral lists this ribosomal RNA (266 nucleotides) under unidentified marine bacterioplankton. RNAcentral describes it as "partial 16S ribosomal RNA". It matches the Rfam family "Bacterial small subunit ribosomal RNA", at positions 49 to 339 of the family's 1533-position model. The record is from RNAcentral.